CCAGGUGUCGGGGAAUUUGUGUUGUAUUUUCCCAGUGGCCUCAGGCAGCUCUGGGAAUGCAACCGGCUCAUUAGGCCCGUGUCCGUGCCAGGCUGCACUUCAAACACCUCCGUCUUCUUGCUAAAUGACAGCCAAGAGCUUCCUGGCAUCCCGGGACUCCGGGAGCCGGGGAUUUAACCAUGCAAGAGUGGCUUGGAGCCAACCAGCAAGAGCCGGCGAGGCUACCGCCAGCUGCUCCAGUGCCAGAAGGCAGCGAGAUGGCCCCCAGCGGUCCACGGACCACCGGAUACGAAGGAGGGGAAGGGAUCUCCAAGCCAAGCCAUGCCCAGGAGUGGCAACCUGAGCAGCUGCUUCCCCCGAUCCAGGGGCGCUGAUGCCCGAGCGACUCCCUCCAACCUCCCCUCAAAUAAAAUAAAAUGAUGCUUAUGA
Long non-coding RNA from Alligator mississippiensis (American alligator), 429 nucleotides. RefSeq lists it as uncharacterized. The record is from RefSeq and is a predicted model, not a curated record. NCBI's taxonomy places the organism in Eukaryota, Metazoa, Chordata, Crocodylia, Alligatoridae. The transcript is spliced from 2 exons.